AGGAUGAACGCUGGCGGCGUGCUUAACACAUGCAAGUCGACCGAUGAAGCCCAGCUUGCUGGGUGGAUUAGUGGCGAACGGGUGAGUAACACGUGAGUAACCUGCCCUUAACUCUGGGAUAAGCCUGGGAAACUGGGUCUAAUACCGGAUAGGAGCGUCCACCGCAUGGUGGGUGUUGGAAAGAUUUAUCGGUUUUGGAUGGACUCGCGGCCUAUCAGCUUGUUGGUGAGGUAAUGGCUCACCAAGGCGACGACGGGUAGCCGGCCUGAGAGGGUGACCGGCCACACUGGGACUGAGACACGGCCCAGACUCCUACGGGAGGCAGCAGUGGGGAAUAUUGCACAAUGGGCGAAAGCCUGAUGCAGCGACGCCGCGUGAGGGAUGACGGCCUUCGGGUUGUAAACCUCUUUCAGUAGGGAAGAAGCGAAAGUGACGGUACCUACAGAAGAAGCACCGGCUAACUACGUGCCAGCAGCCGCGGUAAUACGUAGGGUGCGAGCGUUAUCCGGAAUUAUUGGGCGUAAAGAGCUCGUAGGCGGUUUGUCGCGUCUGUCGUGAAAGUCCGGGGCUUAACCCCGGAUCUGCGGUGGGUACGGGCAGACUAGAGUGCAGUAGGGGAGACUGGAAUUCCUGGUGUAGCGGUGGAAUGCGCAGAUAUCAGGAGGAACACCGAUGGCGAAGGCAGGUCUCUGGGCUGUAACUGACGCUGAGGAGCGAAAGCAUGGGGGAGCGAACAG
Molecule: ribosomal RNA, 737 nt
Filed under: Micrococcus luteus
Lineage: Bacteria; Bacillati; Actinomycetota; Actinomycetes; Micrococcales; Micrococcaceae
Description: bacterial SSU rRNA
Rfam family: Bacterial small subunit ribosomal RNA
Source: RNAcentral